This is an RNA transcript of Epinephelus moara (kelp grouper), 4509 nucleotides long. It is a transcript of the gene named phosphatidylinositol-specific phospholipase C, X domain containing 1, with no coding region annotated. The record is from RefSeq and is a predicted model, not a curated record. The transcript is spliced from 7 exons. NCBI's taxonomy places the organism in Eukaryota, Metazoa, Chordata, Actinopteri, Perciformes, Serranidae.
UGCAGUAUGUUUGGGAGUUUCCAGCCACAGAGAGCGAGUGGAGCAUCAUCAUCACUUCUCUGCCCUCUCUGUCUCCCUGACAUUUCAGUGGGCUCUUUAAGAGGAGAGCCUUUCUGCAUCUGCUGAUCUGUCAGCAGGCGCGGUGCCGCCGCCCUCCCCGCGCACUGCCGCUGCUGCACCUCAGGAGACCGAAGCACCCGGCGUACAGAGGAACUCACUCUAUGCUGAUGCACCUGAGCCCGCGGAUCAUACAACUGAUAUUCGAUCGCCAUGGAUAAUCGAUAAUCGAAGCUAAAAUGCGCCAUGCCCACCGUCCUCGUCAUCCCGGGCUAUGCAGGUGUAAAAGGUAACCAGACUGAGAGCUGCUGGGAGAGGGACACACGGCCACGCUUUAUCUCCGGAUCAUUCAUGUUUAAUGUACAGCCAUGACAUGCUGUAAUGCUCUGGGAUGGACUUCUGCCGGCGCGCGCCUUUAGUUGUAGUUUCAUCGUCUGUGCCCUCCUCGGUGUGUUGGGUGGUUCAGCUGGUUUGGCGAGUGCAGGGAGCAGCAGCAGCACUUUGACCGAGUAAGUGUGAUAUAAACAGCUCUCACCUUACUGUGUGUGAAGUUUGCUGCACAUAAUGUACAUUUAUCAUAUUCAGACCCCCGAAACAAACACGAGUGCCCUGAAGCUGCUGAUGUAACACCACAGGAAGCUUCAUUUAAUAAUCUCACUCAUUAAAUGUGUGUUCACUGACGCUGGAGCUCAGUAUGUCCUCGCUGGUGGGUGAGCGGAGCCUGGGAGAGCUGCCCAUGGAGAGCUGGAUGUCUCACCUGCCAUGUGCCCUGUGGGACACCCCACUGUACCACCUGGCCAUCCCGGGCAGCCACAAUGCAAUAACCUACUGUCUGGAUAUGAAUGACAGAUCCCCUGUUGACCUCACCCAGCCUGACAUGCUUCAGAAGCUGGACAAAUACAUGAAGCCUUUCAUUCGCCCCUUUGUGUACAAGUGGGCGAUCACCCAGGAGUACACUAUAAAGCAGCAGCUGGACUGCGGGGUCAGAUACUGUGACCUGCGAAUUGCACACAGGCCCAAUGACAGCUCAAAUGAUCUUUACUUCUACCAUGGUGUAUACACCACGCUGACUGUGGAGACUGUUCUAAUGGAGAUAAGAGAGUGGCUGGAUGCUCAUCCCAAAGAGGUGGUCAUCCUCUCCUUCAGCCACUUCCUCGGACUGAGCCCGGAGCUCCACAUGCUGCUGGUCACAACCAUACGCAACGUAUUCACCUCCAAACUCUGUCCCAAAACGGAACUUUUAACUCUUCGAAACCUGUGGGCGUUAGGCUACAAAGUGAUUGUGUCCUAUGAACACAAUAUAGCCAGCUGUCACAUCGACCUGUGGCCACACAUUCCUUACUGGUGGGCCAACAAAUGCAAAGCUGAGGCUCUUAUUGAGGAGUUUGAACACAGGAAACAACACGGCCGACCAGGAGGUUUCUUCGUCACAGGAAUCAAUCUGACAGAGGACCUGAAGUACAUCUGCACACACCCUACAGAGUCCCUGAAGGACUUGGUGAUGUCCACGUAUCCAACGCUGCUGAGCUGGGUCAAGGAGCAGACCCCCGGCUCCAGAGUCGGCUCUCUCAACAUCAUUGCUGGGGACUUUAUCACAGAGAGCCAGUUUGUACCGACUGUCGUCACACUGAAUGAAAAACUACUGAAAUGGUCCUCGUGACUUUUCAUCUGUUUGCAUUACUCUACAAAAAAAUGUGAAUCACAGCAUGAAAUGAGCUUGUUUUGUUAAGAGUGACAGAAAAAGUACUUGAAUUACUCAUUUAAAUAUAAAUGCACUUAUUCAGAGGCAGUGAAAUGUAUAUUUCAGUCUUAAAGCGGCUUGAAAACAGACAUUUUGGUAUUUCUACCUGCACUUGUUUGUUUACAUUCAGUUCACUAUUUAUGCAAUGUACUGUAUCUGUUUCCACGAGUCAGCAAACGUGGCUGGUUUUAUGUUUCGAUGACCACAGCAAUAAUGAUACAACUAAUCUCACCUUGACGUAGGCAUUUUAGAUGAGUAAGCACAAACAAUGUAUUCAACGAGCACAUUUAAGUGUAGGUCACAAAUCUUUUCUAAUUAUGACAUGUGGGCAGCAAGUUAAAUAAGUAGCUAACCUGUAUCACCUACAACACACGUAUUUAUCCAUAGAGAAUGUAGAGACGCCAUGAAACUUAUGCAAAAUGCAUGGAAAUCUUAUUUGCAUGAACCCAACCUUGACUGUUUUACUUAAAAUUGACUUGAGCCAAAAGGUUAAGCCUUGUUUUAAAGUAAUGCUGCACCGCUGUGCCUGUGGAGAUGAGCUUUUCCAAUAAACGUGAGCAUUUUUAAGCAGGUCACCUCACUUUAUUCCCUGACUGUUAUGUACAAAUCAGAACAUCUCCUUCCACCAUGCGUGCGCUGGAGUCUCUACUCACCAAGGCGUUUGUUUCAGUUACACAAAAGAAGUGACUAUGUCUGUGUUGUUGUUGUGAACGUCUAACUAUGGAGUCCCAAAAGGGCCACAAUGAGGGAAAAAAAGCUUUUGUGUUCCCUUGCAGUGUGUGUUCAACGCUUCUGCGUCCCCUCACAAUAGUUUGUGUUACAUCAUCUGUCUAAAACUCUGCUGUUGUGGGAUCAGUCCAUUUAGUCCAGUCCAUUUUCAUCAAAGGAGCCAACAUGGUGGAAAAACAAGCAAAUAAUUAAUGUAAAGCUCUAUUAUUUAGAUGAUUUUAAAAGCCAAGGAACACUUUUUAAAGAAUAAGAGAAUAAUGCCUUUAUUCAGGUAAUGGCCUCUGCUGUAUGAGGCUGGAGACAGACUUGCUUUUUAAUCAUGCGUUUGCGUCAACAACCGGUUGUGUUGGGAACAAUUUUUCACAUACUUGCCCGUGUACUAUGUGUGUGACUGGAGGAUUCCACUGGGGGGGGCACACCAAAGAACUCAGACUGUAUAUAACCUAUACAUUUGCAUGAUUUUAACAGUUAACAUGGUGACACUUGAGAUGGUUACUACAUUAUUUGACAUCAUGGUAGAAAAAGCAACAGCAGUGCCAUCGUAGAUGAUAAAUCAGGCGACACGUGACAAUGGCGAGUGUUUCUUGAUCUGCCAACACUGCCCCUACUAUUCAUGUGCAUAUUGCAUCUUUCUGAUGUGUCACGUGAAUUUCUUGGGAUGUGCACAGCCAAUAUUCUGAACAGACGCACAAUACGUGAAGCAGCCAUCACACACAUGCGAACGCAUAGUGAAAAGCAGGUGUAUCUCCUAACAGUGUGAGGGGAAAUUCCUACCAAUGGUCAUUAAAUGUCAACAAAUUCUUUUCAAUUUCACCAUUGAUUUAAAUUUUUAUUGUUUCAAUUUUGUAGUCUUGGGUCCUAAAAAUCAAAAGGUUUAACUUGUUCCAUUUAUCAGUAUGUUGCCAGUAAUAUUCUAUACCCUUUGUCCUAUACUUUAAAAUGCACAGUCUCUGUUACACCUACAAGUAAAUGUAAAUAUCCACUCUAUAAUUUAAAGCUGCACUAAGAUUUAAUCGAAGUCUGACCCACAGAGUAACAGGAGCUCUCACUGACCCGCAGUUGAUUCCAGUGUUGCGUAGCGAGGCAAAAAGAUCUCUAAUGAGCAUUUAUUUUAAAUUAGUAGAAGUAGUUAGUAAUUAAUCACUGAAAACUCUAUAACUGUACAACACUCCUCACCCUCCAUGUGUUCGCAAUACUUCACCUAGACAGUUACAGAAGUCAGAUGUGGUUUUGAAUGUACAAGAUUAUGUUUUUUAUUCUGCAUUUCUUAAAUCAGGGACUUUACCUUGUCUUUUGUUCCUCUUCCUUCCUCUUGGUGGCUGCUGCCUGUUGUGAGAUGGGCGAAUAAUAUAUUGAUGAGUUAGAUGGAGAACAGUCUUGUCUUUGCUUAUGUGACAGAUGAAUGCAUACAUAAACAUGGCAUUUGCUCUUUUGUUUUUACGUGCAUGAACUUUUAUACAUAUUUAAUUAGCAUUGUUAAGAUUUUUCAUUGUCAGACUCUGUAAUUGUGCAUACACAAAACACUGACAGGUGAAGUGAAUAACUUUGAUUAUUUUGUUCCAAUGCAUUGUUCUGCUGGGAAACCUUUGGUUCUGGCAUUCAUGUGGUAAUCUGUUAAUCUUGUAAAUAUUUUGGGUAAAUCCCACCUUCAUACUUGUAAAUGGAAAAGGAUGUCCUCCCUCUUUCACUGUGCUCAUAUAUAACAUUGCCAACUACUUCAUGUUGCUAAAAUAUAUACAGACAAAUUGAAUAGUUAAGCCAACAAACUGUAUACAUCUAUAUCUAGGUCCUUGCUCAUUUAAAGUCUCUUGCCUUCGCUCUCUUGUGCUGCUUUUUUAUUUACCUGAUUGUUACUCCCUUUUAUUUUUGUUGCCUUUUUGUUUAUGUUUGUGCUUUGGCAUCAUUUCGACAAUUGCUGCUAAUUUAUUUUAUUCUUGAACUUGUAUUCCCCAACAUGUUCUGUACAUUCUCCUUGUGAUUAA